GUCGCCAUGGUGAAAUUGGUAUACACGUACGUUUCAGAAGCGUAUGGGGCAACCCGUGGAGGUUCAAGUCCUCUUGGCGACACCA
Molecule: transfer RNA, 85 nt
Filed under: Candidatus Shapirobacteria bacterium CG_4_9_14_3_um_filter_36_12
Lineage: Bacteria; Candidatus Shapironibacteriota
Description: tRNA-Leu
Rfam family: tRNA
About the family: Transfer RNA (tRNA) molecules are approximately 80 nucleotides in length. Their secondary structure includes four short double-helical elements and three loops (D, anti-codon, and T loops).
Source: RNAcentral